Odocoileus virginianus texanus is the source of this 360-nucleotide long non-coding RNA. RefSeq lists it as uncharacterized. Lineage: Eukaryota; Metazoa; Chordata; Mammalia; Artiodactyla; Cervidae. The record is from RefSeq and is a predicted model, not a curated record.
UACAAGUUCAUCAAAAUACAAAAAUAACUAGAAGGUUAUCAUAGAUUUGGGCUGAGAGCAUGGGAAGUUCCAUGAUAACAAUGUCUGAAUCUCAGGGUGUCUUCCACAUCACUUUAGAGGACCACAAAGUGCAUCAUUUCUGCUCUCCACCCUGAACUCCUUCAGCGGGUGAUGGAGAUAGCAGCUCCAGCAGGACAGGAUUUAAUCCUUGAAGAGGUAGAUCGCAAGCACCCACGGCAAGGGCCAGUGUGUAGCUGACAAUGCUCAAGAAGCAAUAACUUAUUCUGUAUUUCUGGCUUUAUACCUGUUCUUUGCAAACCUCUCUUUCAACAGAAUAAAUACUCAUCAUACUUCUUUUUA